UGGGGAAUAUUGGACAAUGGGCGAAAGCCUGAUCCAGCCAUGCCGCGUGAAUGAUGAAGGCCUUAGGGUUGUAAAGUUCUUUCGCCGCCGAGGAUAAUGACGGUAAGCGGAUAAGAAGCCCCGGCUAACUUCGUGCCAGCAGCCGCGGUAAUACGAAGGGGGCUAGCGUUGUUCGGAAUCACUGGGCGUAAAGCGCGCGUAGGCGGCUUAUCAAGUCAGAGGUGAAAGCCCAAAGCUCAACUUUGGAACUGCCUUUGAAACUGUUAAGCUGGAGUGUUGGAGGGGAUAGCGGAAUUCCUAGUGUAGAGGUGAAAUUCGUAGAUACUAGGAGGAACACCGGUGGCGAAGGCGGCUAUCUGGACAACUACUGACGCUGAGGCGCGAAAGCGUGGGGAUCAAA
This 400-nucleotide ribosomal RNA is filed under the name uncultured bacterium. RNAcentral's name for it is "bacterial SSU rRNA". It matches the Rfam family "Bacterial small subunit ribosomal RNA", at positions 355 to 772 of the family's 1533-position model. The record is from RNAcentral.